This 252-nucleotide ribosomal RNA is filed under the name uncultured bacterium. RNAcentral's name for it is "partial 16S ribosomal RNA". It matches the Rfam family "Bacterial small subunit ribosomal RNA", at positions 524 to 776 of the family's 1533-position model. The record is from RNAcentral.
UACGUAGGUCCCGAGCGUUGUCCGGAUUUAUUGGGCGUAAAGCGAGCGCAGGUGGUUUAUUAAGUCUGGUGUAAAAGGCAGUGGCUCAACCAUUGUAUGCAUUGGAAACUGGUAGACUUGAGUGUAGGAGAGGAGAGUGGAAUUUCAUGUGUAGCGGUGAAAUGCGUAGAUAUAUGGAGGAACACCGGUGGCGAAAGCGGCUCUCCGGCCUGUAACUGACACUGAGGCUCGAAAGCGUGGGGAGCAAACAGG